Long non-coding RNA from Mytilus trossulus (common blue mussel), 291 nucleotides. RefSeq lists it as uncharacterized. Lineage: Eukaryota; Metazoa; Mollusca; Bivalvia; Mytilida; Mytilidae. The record is from RefSeq and is a predicted model, not a curated record. The transcript has 3 exons.
CAUAUUGGAAAAAAACUGGACAUACUCAGAGAGUUAGUGGAAAUACAUAGAAACAACAUCCGAGCUGGUUUUGCAAUUUUUCCUUAUACAGACUAUGAAAACACUGCUGUAGUUCUUUGAUAACUUGUACAUGUUGUUGUGAUGUAACAAAUUACUUUUCAUAAACUACAUGUACAAAAUGAAAGAAAGAAGGUUAGAAUGCAAAACUGGUGAAGAUGAAGGUUAUAAUUGUGAUCUACAUAUUGAUUAAUUUGAAGCAGAAUUUGUUCUUAAGAGUGAAAUAAAAAAAAA